GAGUCCCCUUCACCUUUUCCUAGCUGGUGCCAGGUUCACAGAACAAUUGCUGUGGCUGUGAGUCCUGAGCAAGGAAUAACCUGUCUCGGGGAUGGAACCGGUGAGGCAGGCAAGAUAAAGACUCCAAAUUUCUUCAUUUGAAGAGUGAAUCUUCUCAAGAAGACGUUUAUGUUUGUUGGAGCAAUAAUUCCAGGCACUAUUCUACAGACCAACACGAGUCUGUGUUGAAGUGUUCUCAGUGAAAUAAGAAAAAUUGGGGC
This 260-nucleotide long non-coding RNA is filed under the name Rhinolophus ferrumequinum (greater horseshoe bat). Its description in RNAcentral is "lncRNA (ENSRFEG00010021028.1)". Lineage: Eukaryota; Metazoa; Chordata; Mammalia; Chiroptera; Rhinolophidae. The record is from RNAcentral.